UAUACCCUGGUAGUCCACGCUGUAAACGAUGUCGACUUGGAGGUUGUUCCCUUGAGGAGUGGCUUCCGGAGCUAACGCGUUAAGUCGACCGCCUGGGGAGUACGGCCGCAAGGUUAAAACUCAAAUGAAUUGACGGGGGCCCGCACAAGCGGUGGAGCAUGUGGUUUAAUUCGAUGCAACGCGAAGAACCUUACCUACUCUUGACAUCCAGAGAACUUAGCAGAGAUGCUUUGGUGCCUUCGGGAACUCUGAGACAGGUGCUGCAUGGCUGUCGUCAGCUCGUGUUGUGAAAUGUUGGGUUAAGUCCCGCAACGAGCGCAACCCUUAUCCUUUGUUGCCAGCGGUUAGGCCGGGAACUCAAAGGAGACUGCCAGUGAUAAACUGGAGGAAGGUGGGGAUGACGUCAAGUCAUCAUGGCCCUUACGAGUAGGGCUACACACGUGCUACAAUGGCAUAUACAAAGAGAAGCGACCUCGCGAGAGCAAGCGGACCUCAUAAAGUAUGUCGUAGUCCGGAUCGGAGUCUGCAACUCGACUCCGUGAAGUCGGAAUCGCUAGUAAUCGUGGAUCAGAAUGCCACGGUGAAUACGUUCCCGGGCCUUGUACACACCGCCCGUCACACCAUGGGAGUGGGUUGCAAAAGAAGUAGGUAGCUUAACCUUCGGACCGCGCUCU
RNAcentral lists this ribosomal RNA (674 nucleotides) under bacterium LB-23. RNAcentral's name for it is "bacterial SSU rRNA". It matches the Rfam family "Bacterial small subunit ribosomal RNA", at positions 781 to 1456 of the family's 1533-position model. The record is from RNAcentral.